Alnus glutinosa is the source of this 768-nucleotide long non-coding RNA. RefSeq lists it as uncharacterized. The transcript is spliced from 2 exons. The record is from RefSeq and is a predicted model, not a curated record. Lineage: Eukaryota; Viridiplantae; Streptophyta; Magnoliopsida; Fagales; Betulaceae.
UUUGCUAACUUACUGUCAACAGAAAAAAAAGACGGGCGUCUUCUCUCGCUCUCAACUUCCUCUCCAAGUUGCUGCCAUGGGAAGAGGGAUGCAUUUCUCUGUCUCUCUCCUCCUUCCUCUCCCUUUCUACUCUCCUCUUCCUUCUUUUUAGAGCUUUUCGACUCUUUUAAGGCCUUAUCCGCCUCUUUUGAAGCUUUAUUAACCUUUUUUGAGACUAUAUCCCUAAAAUCACACUCAUCCUAUCCACUACUGUCAUACUGCCUUCUCCGAUCUACCAUACCGUUCAUCUCCUCCAUUGUUUCGCUUUGUCUCCGCUGCCCUUGAUACUGACUUAUUUUUUAAGAUAUGAUUUUUCUAAACUAGAUCUGUCAUCCUAUGUUAAUUCAGUCCACCCUCACACAUCUACCUGGCCCUCACGCACCCCUGCCUAACCCUCACGUCCCCAACACCUCCUCUGUUGAUGCUGUUGAUUUAUGAGCUUCAGACUCGCCGUCCUUGAAGGAGAUCCCGCUUUCGUUGUGUUCCCGCAUCCUUCCUUGGUGGCAACCUCAUGGAGUUUGUUAGGGUUCUCUUACUCUUACUCCUGAUUGUUAUAUCUAUCACAUUACACCGCAUAUUUCUCUAGUUGCAUUCUUGACUUUCACCUAACUGUCUAUCUGUUGAAUUGCUUGUAUUUAUUUUCAUUCUUUUUUUUGUUUUUUCUUUUUCUUCUUGUAGUUGUUUCACUUUAAAAAAAAUGUCACAGAAAAGCAUCAUCAUUAUUCAUUA